Panicum virgatum (switchgrass) is the source of this 1103-nucleotide RNA transcript. It is a transcript of the gene named copper-transporting ATPase PAA1, chloroplastic-like, with no coding region annotated. The transcript has 5 exons. The record is from RefSeq and is a predicted model, not a curated record. NCBI's taxonomy places the organism in Eukaryota, Viridiplantae, Streptophyta, Magnoliopsida, Poales, Poaceae.
CCCCCCCCCCCCCCCCCCCCCGCGCAGGUGAGGCGAGAGAUCGGAGUCAGCAAUGGAGUCUACCGCGCUAAUCGCACCAUUACCGCUUCUAACCUCUCGCUCCCGUUCCAAACCCCUCUCCCCUGCCUCCAUCAGAGCUCGCCGCCCCGCCUCCAUUCCCUUCUACGGCAGCGGCCGCGUCGUCCUAUUUUCCCGCCGCGGCCGCGAGUACGCCGGCGUUGGAUCCUUGGUCUCCGCCGCCGCAGCGACUGGGGAGGCAGCAGAUGGCGGCUCUGAGGUCAUCCUGCUCAGUGUCCAGGGUAUGAUGUGCGACGGGUGCGCGGCGAGCGUGAAGCGGAUUCUGGAGAGCCAACCAGAGGUUACAUCUGCUACCGUUGAUUUUAAGGAAGCAAAUGCAGUUGUGUGGACAACAGCUGAAGCUAGGGCAUCGGAUAAUUGGCAGAAGCAAUGUGGAGAGAAACUUGCUAAACACCUCGGCACUUGUGGAUUUGAGUCUCGGCUGCAAGCUAUGGAAAUUACCAUUUCAAAGACUGAUUGCAAUGCAGAUAUUUCCUUGGAAAUUUGAAGUUCUAGGAUCAACAGACCAUGUUUCAGAAUCAUUGUACUGAGUAGAUCAGAAAAGAGUCAGCUUGCCAUAAUUUGAGUAAGGUGAAGUCAAACAAAGCUGAUACUGAAUAUAAGUGAUGUUAUCCCAUGGGUUCAGCGUCAGACGUUAUCCUAUGAGUUCAGCGUCAGUUCAAUUUCCACCAUCAUCUGUGUUGCAGACUUGCCGGGAGCCCUGGAGAGUUUUGCAACCCAAAUUCCAGUGUUCCAUCUCAUGGAGCUCGGGCUUAGUGCCGGUGUACUAGUGCUUCCUUUCACCUUUCUCAUGGGCUUUAGCUAGUUUGUUUGGAGAGGCUUUUGCUGAUAUACUAGGCUAAGAUCUCAGGUCACUGUUGCAAGGCAAAAAGUCUGCAUGUCUCCAUUCUUCACUCCUCUUUAUUCCUUAUUACCGCACAGAUCAUCUACUUUGUCCAUAUUUGUAUGGGUUUAUUGGCUUCCUGUAUUCCAAGGCCUUAUUCAUAGUUUUUAUUAGAGUAAAAUGCAUGGCGGGUCUCUAAACU